Molecule: ribosomal RNA, 1355 nt
Filed under: uncultured bacterium
Lineage: Bacteria
Description: bacterial SSU rRNA
Rfam family: Bacterial small subunit ribosomal RNA
Source: RNAcentral
AUUGAACGCUGGCGGCAGGCUUAACACAUGCAAGUCGAACGAUGAUUAUCUAGCUUGCUAGAUAUGAUUAGUGGCGGACGGGUGAGUAACAUUUAGGAAUCUGCCUAGUAGUGGGGGAUAGCUCGGGGAAACUCGAAUUAAUACCGCAUACGACCUACGGGUGAAAGGGGGCGCAAGCUCUUGCUAUUAGAUGAGCCUAAAUCAGAUUAGCUAGUUGGUGGGGUAAAGGCCCACCAAGGCGACGAUCUGUAACUGGUCUGAGAGGAUGAUCAGUCACACCGGAACUGAGACACGGUCCGGACUCCUACGGGAGGCAGCAGUGGGGAAUAUUGGACAAUGGGGGCAACCCUGAUCCAGCCAUGCCGCGUGUGUGAAGAAGGCCUUUUGGUUGUAAAGCACUUUAAGCAGGGAGGAGAGGCUAAUGGUUAAUACCCAUUAGAUUAGACGUUACCUGCAGAAUAAGCACCGGCUAACUCUGUGCCAGCAGCCGCGGUAAUACAGAGGGUGCGAGCGUUAAUCGGAAUUACUGGGCGUAAAGCGAGUGUAGGUGGCUCAUUAAGUCACAUGUGAAAUCCCCGGGCUUAACCUGGGAACUGCAUGUGAUACUGGUGGUGCUAGAAUAUGUGAGAGGGAAGUAGAAUUCCAGGUGUAGCGGUGAAAUGCGUAGAGAUCUGGAGGAAUACCGAUGGCGAAGGCAGCUUCCUGGCAUAAUAUUGACACUGAGAUUCGAAAGCGUGGGUAGCAAACAGGAUUAGAUACCCUGGUAGUCCACGCCGUAAACGAUGUCUACUAGCCGUUGGGGUCCUUGAGACUUUAGUGGCGCAGUUAACGCGAUAAGUAGACCGCCUGGGGAGUACGGCCGCAAGGUUAAAACUCAAAUGAAUUGACGGGGGCCCGCACAAGCGGUGGAGCAUGUGGUUUAAUUCGAUGCAACGCGAAGAACCUUACCUGGUCUUGACAUAGUGAGAAUCCUGCAGAGAUGCGGGAGUGCCUUCGGGAAUUCACAUACAGGUGCUGCAUGGCUGUCGUCAGCUCGUGUCGUGAGAUGUUGGGUUAAGUCCCGCAACGAGCGCAACCCUUUUCCUUAUUUGCCAGCGGGUUAAGCCGGGAACUUUAAGGAUACUGCCAGUGACAAACUGGAGGAAGGCGGGGACGACGUCAAGUCAUCAUGGCCCUUACGACCAGGGCUACACACGUGCUACAAUGGUAGGUACAGAGGGUUGCUACACAGCGAUGUGAUGCUAAUCUCAAAAAGCCUAUCGUAGUCCGGAUUGGAGUCUGCAACUCGACUCCAUGAAGUCGGAAUCGCUAGUAAUCGCAGAUCAGAAUGCUGCGGUGAAUACGUUCCCGGGCCU